RNAcentral lists this microRNA (24 nucleotides) under Rosa chinensis. Its description in RNAcentral is "sRNA RchiOBHm_Chr2g0109385". Lineage: Eukaryota; Viridiplantae; Streptophyta; Magnoliopsida; Rosales; Rosaceae. The record is from RNAcentral.
UUAGGUCCUAAUGUGUAGAUCACU